Miniopterus natalensis is the source of this 380-nucleotide non-coding RNA. The record is from RefSeq and is a predicted model, not a curated record. NCBI's taxonomy places the organism in Eukaryota, Metazoa, Chordata, Mammalia, Chiroptera, Miniopteridae.
UCUGAGCAGCGACUUGGGUAAGACCGUCCUCUUACAGAUCUACAACACUGAAUGAUAUGUCUUUUUCAAAAGUACUAUAGGAAAUACCUGAAAAGAGAAAAAGACCAAAAAUAGUCAUUUUUCUGUUUAAUUGUGGAAAGAACAACUGUAAAUUACAAACUUUUUAACAUUCUGAAGACUUGAUGUUAAGAACUCUGGUGUCAAAGUCAAGAGUGAGCUUGAAUACAGGCUCUGACACAAGUCAUUUAAUCUCUCUAUGCCUCAGUUUACUCAUUCUGUCUAUGCCACAAAAUUAUGGGAUAAAUAAAUGAGAUAAUACAUGUAAAUCACUUAGAACAAUAUCUGGAACAUAAUAAGCAAUCAAUAAAUGUAAGCCAUUA